AGACUCUGUGCGCGUGCAUAUCAAUAAGCGGAGGAAAAGAAACUAACAAGGAUUCCCCUAGUAACGGCGAGUGAAGCGGGAAGAGCUCGAAUUUGAAAUCUUAAAGGGUUUCCCUUUACGAAUUGUAGUUUAAAGAAGUGUUUUCUGUUGGAGUUCCGGUAAAAGUUCCUUGGAAUAGGACAUCAUAGAGGGUGAGAAUCCCGUAUUUGGUCAUUCCUCCUAGCGUUGUGAUACACUUUCAACGAGUCGGAUUGUUUGGGAAUGCAGUCCAAAAUGGGUGGUAAAUUUCAUCUAAAGCUAAAUAUUGGCGAGAGACCGAUAGCGAACAAGUACCGUGAGGGAAAGAUGAAAAGAACUUUGAAAAGAGAGUUAAACAGUACGUGAAAUUGUCAAAAGGGAAGCGUUUGACACCAGUGUUGUUUAGUUGAAAAUCAAUUCAAUAAUUUUUGAUUUUAAGUAGUAUUGACUUCAUCAGCUUGCUGCUUUCUUUUCAGGAAUUAUUGAAUGCACUUUUCAGUUAACAAGUCAACAUCAAUUUCUUUUGUUGUAAAAGGGUAAGAGGAAGGUGGCUUACGCUUCGGCGUAAGUGUUUAUAGCCUUUUACCUCUGCAAUCGGAGAGAUUGAGGACAGCAGCGUAGACUCCUUCGGGGGUUAGAUACACUUGUGCUAAGCUAUAGCCUUGUAUAGACAACUUGUUGGCUAUGCUCAGUCAUGUAGCUUACUCGCUUGUGCUAUUUUACCUACGCUUAGGAUGUUGACUGAUAUGUAGUCGUA
This 775-nucleotide ribosomal RNA is filed under the name uncultured Neocallimastigales. Its description in RNAcentral is "partial large subunit ribosomal RNA". It matches the Rfam family "Eukaryotic large subunit ribosomal RNA", at positions 23 to 644 of the family's 3401-position model. Lineage: Eukaryota; Fungi; Neocallimastigomycota; Neocallimastigomycetes; Neocallimastigales. The record is from RNAcentral.